This 1437-nucleotide ribosomal RNA is filed under the name Weissella confusa. RNAcentral describes it as "bacterial SSU rRNA". It matches the Rfam family "Bacterial small subunit ribosomal RNA". Lineage: Bacteria; Bacillati; Bacillota; Bacilli; Lactobacillales; Lactobacillaceae. The record is from RNAcentral.
UCGAACGCUUUGUGGUUCAACUGAUUUGAAGAGCUUGCUCAGAUAUGACGAUGGACAUUGCAAAGAGUGGCGAACGGGUGAGUAACACGUGGGAAACCUACCUCUUAGCAGGGGAUAACAUUUGGAAACAGAUGCUAAUACCGUAUAACAAUGACAACCGCAUGGUUGUUAUUUAAAAGAUGGUUCUGCUAUCACUAAGAGAUGGUCCCGCGGUGCAUUAGCUAGUUGGUAAGGUAAUGGCUUACCAAGGCGAUGAUGCAUAGCCGAGUUGAGAGACUGAUCGGCCACAAUGGGACUGAGACACGGCCCAUACUCCUACGGGAGGCAGCAGUAGGGAAUCUUCCACAAUGGGCGAAAGCCUGAUGGAGCAACGCCGCGUGUGUGAUGAAGGGUUUCGGCUCGUAAAACACUGUUGUAAGAGAAGAAUGACAUUGAGAGUAACUGUUCAAUGUGUGACGGUAUCUUACCAGAAAGGAACGGCUAAAUACGUGCCAGCAGCCGCGGUAAUACGUAUGUUCCAAGCGUUAUCCGGAUUUAUUGGGCGUAAAGCGAGCGCAGACGGUUAUUUAAGUCUGAAGUGAAAGCCCUCAGCUCAACUGAGGAAUUGCUUUGGAAACUGGAUGACUUGAGUGCAGUAGAGGAAAGUGGAACUCCAUGUGUAGCGGUGAAAUGCGUAGAUAUAUGGAAGAACACCAGUGGCGAAGGCGGCUUUCUGGACUGUAACUGACGUUGAGGCUCGAAAGUGUGGGUAGCAAACAGGAUUAGAUACCCUGGUAGUCCACACCGUAAACGAUGAGUGCUAGGUGUUUGAGGGUUUCCGCCCUUAAGUGCCGCAGCUAACGCAUUAAGCACUCCGCCUGGGGAGUACGACCGCAAGGUUGAAACUCAAAGGAAUUGACGGGGACCCGCACAAGCGGUGGAGCAUGUGGUUUAAUUCGAAGCAACGCGAAGAACCUUACCAGGUCUUGACAUCCCUUGACAACUCCAGAGAUGGAGCGUUCCCUUCGGGGACAAGGUGACAGGUGGUGCAUGGUUGUCGUCAGCUCGUGUCGUGAGAUGUUGGGUUAAGUCCCGCAACGAGCGCAACCCUUAUUACUAGUUGCCAGCAUUCAGUUGGGCACUCUAGUGAGACUGCCGGUGACAAACCGGAGGAAGGUGGGGAUGACGUCAAAUCAUCAUGCCCCUUAUGACCUGGGCUACACACGUGCUACAAUGGCGUAUACAACGAGUUGCCAACCCGCGAGGGUGAGCUAAUCUCUUAAAGUACGUCUCAGUUCGGAUUGUAGGCUGCAACUCGCCUACAUGAAGUCGGAAUCGCUAGUAAUCGCGGAUCAGCACGCCGCGGUGAAUACGUUCCCGGGUCUUGUACACACCGCCCGUCACACCAUGAGAGUUUGUAACACCCAAAGCCGGUGGGGUAACCUUCGGGAGCCAGCC